Molecule: ribosomal RNA, 433 nt
Filed under: uncultured bacterium
Lineage: Bacteria
Description: partial 16S ribosomal RNA
Rfam family: Bacterial small subunit ribosomal RNA
Source: RNAcentral
AACGAACGCUGGCGGCAUGCCUAACACAUGCAAGUCGAACGAGACCUUCGGGUCUAGUGGCGCACGGGUGCGUAACGCGUGGGAACCUGCCCUUAGGUUCGGAAUAACUCCCCGAAAGGGGUGCUAAUACCGGAUAAUGUCUUCGGACCAAAGAUUUAUCGCCUUUGGAUGGGCCCGCGUUGGAUUAGCUAGUUGGUAGGGUAAAAGCCAACCAAGGCGACGAUCCAUAGCUGGUCUGGGAGGAUGAUCAGCCGCACUUGGAAUGAGGCACGGCCCAGACUCCUACGGGAAGGAGCAGAAGGGAAUAUUGGGGGAUGGGGGCAAGCCUGGUACAGCCAUGCCGGGGGAGUGAUGAAGGGCUUAGGGUUGUAAAGCUCUUUUACCCGGGAUGAUAAUGACAGUACCGGGAGAAUAAGCGCCGGCUAACUCCGUG